GAUGCCCCAGUCAGAGAUACCUUGAGCUGAAAUCGUAGACAAAACAUAACACAAUUUCAGUGUCAGUGGCUGAGACAAGAUCUUAUCGGUCUCUCAUGCGGCCUACUUCAAAUAAGAGUCAAGGACAGCCUCUUAGCAAAUGUGAUUUGGCCCAAGAACAAACAUGGAAUCUGCUUGCUGGUGAUCAGUUACAGAGUUAAACUCUACACCACCGCUCUGGCACCACUAAAGGCCCCUGGCUGCAUCCUCCCCCUGCUGUGACCUCAGGAUAAGGGAAAACAACUCCUCUCCUGCUAUUGUUCUCACACCAUGGGGUGGCUCCUGCUGGAUCCUGGACAAGACUUUGUCUCUGCACAGGACAGAGAGCUACAGACACACAGAUGGAAAUGGCAGCGGAUUUAUGUAAGAUGUGAGAAAUAGAUACGGCAUCACAGCUAAGAGGUUUUAGUAACUUAGCACUUCCUUCCUUAUGUGUACCAUGAGUCUAUGUUGUUUGAUAUUUAUAAUUAUAUUUCACAUUUUUGUUAUUGGCUACUCCAAUGAAAACAGGAACUGACUUCAUCCAUCACAAGA
Long non-coding RNA from Tachysurus vachellii, 573 nucleotides. RefSeq lists it as uncharacterized. The transcript has 3 exons. The record is from RefSeq and is a predicted model, not a curated record. Lineage: Eukaryota; Metazoa; Chordata; Actinopteri; Siluriformes; Bagridae.